Molecule: long non-coding RNA, 1142 nt
Organism: Oreochromis niloticus (Nile tilapia)
Lineage: Eukaryota; Metazoa; Chordata; Actinopteri; Cichliformes; Cichlidae
Exons: 3
Source: RefSeq, a predicted model, not a curated record
CCGGCAACAAGCAGGAGAAAACAAAGGGCUCAUAUACACAAAAGAGCCAUCAGGGAAUGAGAAAAGGGAGACACAGCAGGAUUAACUGGACACAACCAGACAAGGGGAAGCAAACUAGACACACUAACGUAGGACAUGGCACUGUCAAAAUAAAACAGGAAGUGAACACAGAGACACAAUACUAACACAGUACAGAGGGAACACAGAAACCAAAACCUCAGAACUAGAAAAUCUUAAUCAGAAUGAAAUUGUAACAAAAGACAAUAACAAUCAAAACAAAAGCACUGAGUCCACAGACUCGGGACAGACAUCGGCUCAAACUGUGCUCAUAAAUAUUUUGUAAAUCAGACUGUGUAGUUGUGAACUGAGUUUUGUAACAUUGUAAAACAAAAUAUCUGAAAAGUUUAUGUUUUUGCGUUCAUUGAUUUGUGUGUGUAAAAAUGUAAAAAGUGUAAUAAACAUUAGAACUACUUUUGCUGACACAAAGUUUGGCGAGCACUGCAAGUUGUCCCUUUAAACCAGUCACUGAUAUAAAGAGAGCACCUUGUUCCAGGGCAUCUGAGCAUGGAGGCAAAGCUUUAUGCAGGAGAUGGUAAGAGCUGUUGGGACUAAAGAAACUGAGCAGAAAACUACAGACAUCUGGAAACUGAGUUGUUAAUUCUCAGUGGGAUCACCAGGACUAGCAAAGCUUCACCAUGACAGUCAUCUGAUUGACUGAACCCAUCCAAACAUCACUUCAUGGACCUUUAGCUUGUGUCUGUGUGUGGACAGACAUAACAUGAGCUAAUUAUUCAUUACUCCUCCACAGAGUGGAGCAGGAGAGAGCAGAGGUUUCCACUGGUCAGUCUGCACAGCAACAUCAAACACACCUGGACUCUGUGGUUAUGCGGCUGGAGGACAACAUCACCAUGUUUGUGAAGAACGAGCUGAAGAAGAUCCAGAAGCUUCUGAGUCCAGAUCACCCAGAAACUUUAAAGAGCCAGAUGGAGGAUGAGGAGAUGUUUGAAGGUGAGGAUGAAGAUGAAAGAAAGAGCUGCAGAGAAGCAUUUCUGAAGAUCACACUCCACUUCUUGAGGAGACUUAAGCAGCAUGAGAUGGCUGACCAUCUGCAGAGCAAAAUAUUUCCUUCACUCUGUAAACGU